Molecule: transfer RNA, 87 nt
Filed under: Sphingomonas metalli
Lineage: Bacteria; Pseudomonadati; Pseudomonadota; Alphaproteobacteria; Sphingomonadales; Sphingomonadaceae
Rfam family: tRNA
About the family: Transfer RNA (tRNA) molecules are approximately 80 nucleotides in length. Their secondary structure includes four short double-helical elements and three loops (D, anti-codon, and T loops).
Source: Rfam by way of RNAcentral
GGAGACGUGGGUGAGCGGCUGAAACCAACGCUUUGCUAAAGCGUCAUACGGGAAACCGUAUCGAGGGUUCGAAUCCCUCCGUCUCCG